UAUACGACCGUACCGCAAACCGACACUGGUGCGCGAGAUGAGUAUUCUAAGGCGCUUGAGAGAACUCAGGAGAAGGAACUCGGCAAAUUGACACCGUAACUUCGGAAGAAGGUGUGCCCUAUUAGUGUGUAGUGAACAACGAAGCAUGAAUGGGUUGCAAAAAAUCGGUGGCUGCGACUGUUUAUUAAAAACACAGCACUCUGCAAACACGGAAGUGGACGUAUAGGGUGUGACGCCUGCCCGGUGCUGGAAGAUUAAAUGAUGGGGUGCAAGCUCUUGAUUGAAGUCCCAGUAAACGGCGGCCGUAACAAUAACGGUCCUAAGGUAGCGAAAUUCCUUGUCGGGUAAGUUCCGACCUGCACGAAUGGCGUAACGAUGGCCACACUGUCUCCUCCUGAGACUCAGCGAAGUUGAAAUGUUUGUGAUGAUGCAAUCUCCCCGCGGAAAGACGGAAAGACCCCAUGAACCUUUACUGUAGCUUCGUAUUGGACUUUGAACAGAUCUGUGUAGGAUAGGUGGGAGGCUUUGAAGCAGGGUCGCUAGAUCUUGUGGAGCCAACGUUGAAAUACCACCCUGGUGUGUUUGAGGUUCUAACCUAGGUCCAUUAUCUGGAUCGGGGACAGUGCAUGGUAGGCAGUUUGACUGGGGCGGUCUCCUCCCAAAGCGUAACGGAGGAGUUCGAAGGUACGCUAGUUACGGUCGGACAUCGUGACGAUAGUGCAAUGGCAUAAGCGUGCUUAACUGCGAGACUGACAAGUCGAGCAGAUGCGAAAGCAGGACAUAGUGAUCCGGUGGUUCUGUAUGGAAGGGCCAUCGCUCAACGGAUAAAAGGUACUCUGGGGAUAACAGGCUGAUACCGCCCAAGAGUUCAUAUCGACGGCGGUGUUUGGCACCUCGAUGUCGGCUCAUCUCAUCCUGGGGCUGUAGCCGGUCCCAAGGGUAUGGCUGUUCGCCAUUUAAAGAGGUACGUGAGCUGGGUUUAAAACGUCGUGAGACAGUUUGGUCCCUAUCUUCCGUGGGCGCUGCAGAUUUGAGGAAGCCUGCUCCUAGUACGAGAGGACCGGAGUGGACACACCUCUGGUGUAUCGGUUGUCACGCCAGUGGCAUUGCCGAGUAGCUAAGUGUGGAAGAGAUAACCGCUGAAAGCAUCUAAGCGGGAAACUCGUUUCAAGAUGAGAUCUGCCGGGGCCUUGAGCCCCCUAAAGAGUCGUUCAAGACCAGGACGUUGAUAGGUCAGGUGUGGAAGCG
Molecule: ribosomal RNA, 1248 nt
Filed under: metagenome
Description: bacterial LSU rRNA
Rfam family: Bacterial large subunit ribosomal RNA
Source: RNAcentral